This 360-nucleotide ribosomal RNA is filed under the name Triticum aestivum (bread wheat). Its description in RNAcentral is "partial small subunit ribosomal RNA". The record is from RNAcentral. Lineage: Eukaryota; Viridiplantae; Streptophyta; Magnoliopsida; Poales; Poaceae.
AUGCAGCCAUGCAUGCAUCCGAGACGUAAAUGCUGCUGCUGCCGUUGUGUGAACCGGAAGACCAAGUUUGACUCAAUAGACCCCGCCGCUCUCGGGCUCGGCGCCGUCAACAAGACCCGCGCCCUCGGCCUCCCCGACCAGUGCAGCGUCAAGACGCCGCCGCUCAGCAACUGCGCCUCUGCCCCCACCACGUCGCCAUCCUCCGGCGCGCCGGCGGGACAGGCGCCAACAUCCUCCGGAGCAGGGUCCAAGUCGACGCCGACGGCGGACGUGGGGAGCGGCGGCGCGUCACUCCACAGCUCGGCCGGCAUCAUCGCCGGCUUCAUCGUGGCCGCGGUCUACGCCGUGGCCACCCUAUGA